This 254-nucleotide ribosomal RNA is filed under the name uncultured bacterium. RNAcentral describes it as "partial 16S ribosomal RNA". It matches the Rfam family "Bacterial small subunit ribosomal RNA", at positions 524 to 776 of the family's 1533-position model. The record is from RNAcentral.
UACGUAGGGGGCAAGCGUUGUCCGGAUUUAUUGGGCGUAAAGAGCGUGUAGGCGGCCACACAGGUCAGCUGUGAAAACUCGAGGCUCAACCUCGAGACGUCGGUUGAAACCGUAUGGCUAGAGUCCGGAAGAGGAGAGUGGAAUUCCCGGUGUAGCGGUGAAAUGCGCAGAUAUCGGGAAGAACACCCGUGGCGAAGGCGGCUCUCUGGGACGGUACUGACGCUGAGACGCGAAAGCGUGGGGAGGCGAACAGG